UACGGAGAGUGCUAGCAUUAAUCGGAAUUAUUGGGCGUAAAGGGCGCGUAGGCGGUUUUGUAAGUCUGAUGUGAAAUUCCGGAGCUCAACUCCGGAGCCGCAUCGGAAACUACAGGACUUGAGGUUUGGCGGAGAAAAUGGAAUUCCACGUGUAGCGGUGAAAUGCGUAGAUAUGUGGAAGAACACCGGUGGCGAAAGCGAUUUUCUAGCUUAUACCUGACGCUGAGGCGCGAGAGCAUGGGGAGCAAACAGG
This 253-nucleotide ribosomal RNA is filed under the name uncultured bacterium. RNAcentral describes it as "partial 16S ribosomal RNA". It matches the Rfam family "Bacterial small subunit ribosomal RNA", at positions 524 to 776 of the family's 1533-position model. The record is from RNAcentral.